CUAUCCUGUUUUUUUUUGUUUGUUUGUUUUUAAUUUAUAUUUAUUUUUAUUUCACUUCUUGGUUGUAAAGGAUGGAGGGUGUGUACAAUACUCAUAACUCUCAAGGGCUUUUAGGUUUGCAGCACUUCCCUAGCACUUGAGUCUGUCUUGCUGGGAUCUGGCUGUGGUAACCUGCCUUGGGUUUGGUACCUGUGAUGGUUUUAAUGGCCUUCUAGUCACCUUCUAGUCUGGUAGUGCUUGUGGAGGUCAGUCUCCAGCACCACCAUGGGAGGCUGGCCUCCUCUGCUGCCCUUUUGUCUUUCUAGAUCUGUGACGGCAAUCACUUGCUGUUGUAGCACUACCCCUAAAUACACAAUUUUAUAGAAUGAAAGGGGCUUGUCUAUGUUGAGGAUAAGGAUCCUAUUUUGGCCUUUCAUUGUAGGGAGCCUGCUGUGAAAUGCUCCUUACCAUGAAGGCCAUGCAUUGUGGUCCCAGACAGUGGGGAUCUCAACUCCUCCCUUCAUGAACCGCUUGGUGAGCAGUAGAGAUGAGAUAUGCUGCAGAUGAGGGCAGGAAGGUGCCCCAGCACCACAGCCUCAAAGCAGGUCGGCUGGCCCGGCUGCUUUCAUAAACCAAAAGCUGGUUCUCAAGCGAGUGUAACUCCCACUGCUCUUGAGCAAACUCACCUGACAAUGCCUGUGCCAUCUCACGCCAAGGAGUCCACCAUUUUGGGCGGCCCGCUCCUUCUUGGAGCCACCGCAGUAGGUGACCCACAGCAAAUUCUCCUACUCGGAGAGAGAACGCUCCAAGGCAGCUGCAGCAGGCCCACAUGGUGUCACCCAGACUGGAUGGAGCCCAGGGACCUCCCUUUUACCCACCACCCCCUCUCCUUCAGCAGGAACCUUGUGCAGUACCGUGGCUCCAGCCAUCCUCACGCUAAGCCCUGAGGAGCGCUUGUGACGGAUAAUUAUUCAAGAUUAGAGGCUACAGCAAUCAGAGCGAUGCUGAGCUUACAAGAGCCUACUUCAACUUGAAGUACACUGACGUGCCUAGUGCUGGAGAGCAGAAACCAGCGUGAAGCACCCAGCCUCGCUUUGCAACACAAGGAGCAAAUCCUGCUGCUGGAGCUGGCUACUGCGAUAAUCAGGCCAUCCAUCUGUUUUCUCAGCAUUGAAUUCAUUUCCUCAUCCUCUGGAGAGGGUGGGAUGUGAUCAUCUUUGCCCAUGAGACCUCAGAAAGAAAAUGACCUCAUGGAAAUGGAAGGGAUUCACUCACAAAACAGAAAUACUGUGUUGCUAAGGUAUUUAUCAGAGGUUGGGCAAAACUGCUGACAUCUUGCUUGGAAGUCUUUCACAAAGAUCUCAUUGGUGAUAACCUGGACAACAGCAUGUGGGCAUUUGGGGAAAAAAAAGAGCAUAAAUCAGCGCUGUGUUGGUGCUCUUUUGAAAGGAUUAAAAGAAACUUGAUAAGUAUGAAAAAUGUGGUUGUUCCUAUCUUUACACCACUAAGAUACAACGUUGGCUCUACAGAACUUAAAAGCAAUGUUUUGCUUUUGAAAGUCCACUGGGGACCCCUAAUGUUUGCCUGCUGCAGAAGCACACGCCUCUGAGCAGAAGCUGCAAGAGCCUCUUUGGGUAUCCCUGGGUUUGGUUGUUUUGGUCGUUCAAAGGCCACUCCACAGCCCCGAGAUCAGCUUUAUUCUCAGCUCUCGGAGUCCCACCUCAUCCAAAAAUGCCGCUGUCAUCUUUCCCAGACCAGAAGCAUCGUUGUUAGCUCCCACCCUCAGUGUUGCAGAGGAACCAAACCUAUCUGAAGCUUUACACAGAACAACGCUAUGCUCGCAACGGGAUUAAAUUGCCCUUCUCUCUUUCAAGCCUCCAGCCCCAAAGCCAAGUAAAUCAGCAAAACCUGGACUUUAAGUGGCUUCUAACGUACUGAAAGUCAAUUAGAGUGAUUAAAAUGGAGCUGCUAACCACAGCUCUUCAUCACCAAUGCCGUGCUGCACAUCUAUUCUGUGUGGUUUGCAAGUAAAAGUGCAGGGAGAGGAAAGGAUUUUUUUUUUUUUUUAAAAGCAGCCAAAUUGCCUCUAAUUAGCAGCACAACUGUAGUCAAAACAUAAUGUGAGGAUAAUAAAUUGAUAUUUGCAUAAUGGAGACACUA
Long non-coding RNA from Oxyura jamaicensis (ruddy duck), 2139 nucleotides. RefSeq lists it as uncharacterized. The transcript has 5 exons. The record is from RefSeq and is a predicted model, not a curated record. NCBI's taxonomy places the organism in Eukaryota, Metazoa, Chordata, Aves, Anseriformes, Anatidae.